AUUGAACGCUGGCGGCAGGCUUAACACAUGCAAGUCGAGCGGGGGAAGGUAGCUUGCUACUGGACCUAGCGGCGGACGGGUGAGUAAUGCUUAGGAAUCUGCCUAUUAGUGGGGGACAACAUCUCGAAAGGGAUGCUAAUACCGCAUACGUCCUACGGGAGAAAGCAGGGGAUCUUCGGACCUUGCGCUAAUAGAUGAGCCUAAGUCGGAUUAGCUAGUUGGUGGGGUAAAGGCCUACCAAGGCGACGAUCUGUAGCGGGUCUGAGAGGAUGAUCCGCCACACUGGGACUGAGACACGGCCCAGACUCCUACGGGAGGCAGCAGUGGGGAAUAUUGGACAAUGGGGGGAACCCUGAUCCAGCCAUGCCGCGUGUGUGAAGAAGGCCUUAUGGUUGUAAAGCACUUUAAGCGAGGAGGAGGCUACUUUAGUUAAUACCUAGAGAUAGUGGACGUUACUCGCAGAAUAAGCACCGGCUAACUCUGUGCCAGCAGCCGCGGUAAUACAGAGGGUGCGAGCGUUAAUCGGGUUUACUGGGCGUAAAGCGUGCGUAGGCGGCUUAUUAAGUCGGAUGUGAAAUCCCCGAGCUUAACUUGGGAAUUGCAUUCGAUACUGGUGAGCUAGAGUAUGGGGAGAGGAUGGUAGAAUUCCAGGUGUAGCGGUGAAAUGCGUAGAGAUCUGGGAGGAAUACCGAUGGCGAAAGCAGCCAUCU
Molecule: ribosomal RNA, 710 nt
Filed under: Acinetobacter baumannii OIFC189
Lineage: Bacteria; Pseudomonadati; Pseudomonadota; Gammaproteobacteria; Moraxellales; Moraxellaceae
Description: bacterial SSU rRNA
Rfam family: Bacterial small subunit ribosomal RNA
Source: RNAcentral